RNAcentral lists this ribosomal RNA (553 nucleotides) under Oxyrrhis marina. RNAcentral describes it as "partial Bacterial large subunit ribosomal RNA". It matches the Rfam family "Bacterial large subunit ribosomal RNA", at positions 476 to 1062 of the family's 2925-position model. Lineage: Eukaryota; Dinophyceae; Oxyrrhinales; Oxyrrhinaceae. The record is from RNAcentral.
CUAAAUAAUUAAUAGUGAAAAGUACCGUGAGGGACCGUUAGCGUUCUUGGGCGUAUUCUAAUUUAAUAGCUUAUAAACAACUUUUUAUAAAAAGGUUUACCUUUUGCAUUAUGGUUCGGUCAGUUAAAUUGUAUAGCAAGCUUAAAAAUUAAAUAUUUAAAAAGCGAAAAUAAUUAAAUUUAGAAGUUAUAAAAUUUAAACACGAAACCAACGUGAUCUAUUCAGAUUCAGAUCGAAUAUUUAGUAACAAUAAAUUAGAGGAUCUAACCGGUGUUUGUUGCAAAAAACUCGGGUGAAAUUUGAAUUGGAGUGAAAGGCUAAUCAAACUUGGCGAUAGCUUGUUUUCUGCGAAAUUCUUCUUAGAGAAGCGCUUAAAAUCAAAAUUUUAGGGUAAAGCACUGGUAGAAUUGAGGUUGUUUAUUUAGCAUUACAAAAUUCGUCCAAACUCUGAAUAUAAAAUUAUGUUUUAAGUAGUUAGAUUAUAGGCUAGAAAGUUUAUAAUCAAAAGAGAAACAACUCUAAUUGGUUUUUAAGGCUUUAAAAUAAACUUUAA